This 84-nucleotide ribosomal RNA is filed under the name Muribaculaceae bacterium Isolate-105 (HZI). The record is from RNAcentral. Lineage: Bacteria; Pseudomonadati; Bacteroidota; Bacteroidia; Bacteroidales; Muribaculaceae.
CACCUCUUCCCAUUCCGAACAGAGAAGUUAAACCUCACUACGCCGAUGAUACUGCGAAAGCGGGAAAGUAGGUAACCGCCCCCU